RNAcentral lists this ribosomal RNA (490 nucleotides) under uncultured bacterium. RNAcentral's name for it is "partial 16S ribosomal RNA". It matches the Rfam family "Bacterial small subunit ribosomal RNA", at positions 30 to 507 of the family's 1533-position model. The record is from RNAcentral.
AUUGAACGCUGGCGGCAGGCCUAACACAUGCAAGUCGAACGGUAACAGGAAGCAGCUUGCUGCUUUGCUGACGAGUGGCGGACGGGUGAGUAAUGUCUGGGAAACUGCCCGAUGGAGGGGGAUAACUACUGGAAACGGUAGCUAAUACCGCAUAACGUCGCAAGACCAAAGAGGGGGACCUUAGGGCCUCUUGCCAUCGGAUGUGCCCAGAUGGGAUUAGCUAGUAGGUGGGGUAACGGCUCACCUAGGCGACGAUCCCUAGCUGGUCUGAGAGGAUGACCAGCCACACUGGAACUGAGACACGGUCCAGACUCCUACGGGAGGCAGCAGUGGGGAAUGUUGCACAAUGGGCGCAAGCCUGAUGCAGCCAUGCCGCGUGUAUGAAGAAGGCCUUCGGGUUGUAAAGUACUUUCAGCGGGGAGGAAGGGAGUAAAGUUAAUACCUUUGCUCAUUGACGUUACCCGCAGAAGAAGCACCGGCUAACUCCGUG